ACUUAAAUAGCUUAAAAUAGAGCAUGAUAUUGAAGAUAUUAAGGUAAUAGAAUUAUUUUUAAGUA
Molecule: transfer RNA, 65 nt
Filed under: Thyestilla gebleri
Lineage: Eukaryota; Metazoa; Arthropoda; Insecta; Coleoptera; Cerambycidae
Description: tRNA-Phe
Source: RNAcentral